Molecule: long non-coding RNA, 923 nt
Organism: Quercus robur (English oak)
Lineage: Eukaryota; Viridiplantae; Streptophyta; Magnoliopsida; Fagales; Fagaceae
Exons: 2
Source: RefSeq, a predicted model, not a curated record
CCGGCCCGACCCUAAUGGGCCGGAUUUUACCCGAUCCGAUUAGAAAUAGGGUCGGGUAUGGGUUUCCAAAAAAAAAUCCGAAGCGGGUCCGGGUCGGGUCCGGGUUUUAAUUAAAAAACCCGAAACCCGACCCGAGACCCGGCCCGAAACCCGACCCGUGUAAAAACCCGGAACCUAAAAUUACAAAACUACCCCCCAUAUAUAUAUAUACACCUUAAUCUAACCCUAACCCUAACGUUCUUCACUCUUUCACUCCCACACUCAGCAGCCUCCCUCCCUACUCAGUCCGACAGUCCGUCACCCUCACUCCCACACCCUUACGCCGCCGUCCCACACCACACUCCGUCCCUCAGUCCGACCCUCACAAGCCUCCGUCCCUCAGUCCGACCCUCACAACCCUCACUCCCACACUCCGUCCCUCAGUACCUCAGUCCGACCCUCACAAGCCUCCGGCUCCGGCAGCCGUUCGCGUCUCUGGUACCGUCGGCGUCUCUGGAACGUCGUCGCCUGCUUCAAGAUCGCCGAUCAGGACUUUCGGCGUCUCUGGAACGUCGUCGCCUGCUUCAAGAUCGCCGAUCAGGACUUUCGGUUUCAUCACCUACUUCAAGAUCGCCGAUAAGGAUUUGAAGCAAUCACCUGCAAGAAGGUUCUUCAAUUAUACCUGGAGAUAGUACAUUUCAAUCCAUUCUUAAUGAUGGGGAGCCAAAUGAAGAUGAUGGGAGUUGUGCCACAAUUGAUGGGAGUUGCAUCACAAUUGAUGAAGAUUAAAUAUUUUGUAUUAAUUUAGUAGUUUUUUUAAUUUCUUGGACUUUUGUUGAAUUAAUUUGUUGGUAUGUAAUUAUUCUAAACUUGUGGCCUUGUGGGAUUUAUUUUGUAGCUUUUUAAUUUCUUGGACUCGUUGGACUUUUGAUACUUAUUUCUUA